This is a ribosomal RNA of Alicyclobacillus sp., 117 nucleotides long. NCBI's taxonomy places the organism in Bacteria, Bacillati, Bacillota, Bacilli, Caryophanales, Alicyclobacillaceae. The record is from Rfam.
UCUGGUGACCAUAGCGGAGGGGAUACACGCGUACCCAUCCCGAACACGACCGUGAAGACCUCCAGCGCCGAGCAUACUUGGGGUGAAGACCCCUGGGAACCUAGGUCGUUGCCAGGC